This 332-nucleotide long non-coding RNA is filed under the name Hordeum vulgare. RNAcentral describes it as "long non-coding RNA (HVUL_LNC006564)". Lineage: Eukaryota; Viridiplantae; Streptophyta; Magnoliopsida; Poales; Poaceae. The record is from RNAcentral.
AAUAUAAUCAUCUAUCUCUACAUGCAUAUAUGGCAGGUAGUGUUGUAAGUUUUAGCGUAAAACAAAUUUUCUCCUACAACAAGAGGGGCUAAAAGCAAAAUAUUACUACGCUGUUGGUUGUUAAUGAGAUGGUUCCGCCAACCAGUUCUCAUACCCAGGUUAUCAAUAAUACCCUCAUCAAAUAUAUGUAAUGGUGUUGAGAAUUCCAGAUAACUUCAGUUCCUUUGGCUCAAGUUGUCCAUGACCGUGGACACGGCUAAUCGAUUAGGUUUGAGUACUCUGCAAAGUUUCGCACACGUUCCCCACAAGAUUCGAUCGCCUCCGUGUAUGUC